RNAcentral lists this ribosomal RNA (402 nucleotides) under Actinomycetes bacterium. RNAcentral's name for it is "Actinobacteria bacterium partial 16S ribosomal RNA". It matches the Rfam family "Bacterial small subunit ribosomal RNA", at positions 355 to 776 of the family's 1533-position model. The record is from RNAcentral. Lineage: Bacteria; Bacillati; Actinomycetota; Actinomycetes.
UGGGGAAUUUUGCACAAUGGGGGCAACCCUGAUGCAGCGACGCCGCGUGAUUUAGAAGGCCUUCGGGUUGUAAAAAUCUUUUGUAUGGGAAGAAAAUGACAGUACCAUACGAAUAAGGACCGGCUAAUUACGUACCAGCAGCCGCGGUAAUACGUAAGGUCCGAGCGUUGUCCGGAAUCAUUGGGCGUAAAGGGUACGUAGGCGGAUAAGCAAGUUAGAAGUGAAAUCCUAUAGCUCAACUAUAGUAAGCUUUUAAAACUGCUCAUCUUGAGGUAUGGAAGGGAAAGUGGAAUUCCUAGUGUAGCGGUGAAAUGCGCAGAUAUUAGGAGGAAUACCGGUGGCGAAGGCGACUUUCUGGCCAUAAGCUGACGCUGAGGUACGAAAGCGUGGGUAGCAAACAGG